RNAcentral lists this ribosomal RNA (441 nucleotides) under uncultured bacterium. RNAcentral describes it as "partial 16S ribosomal RNA". It matches the Rfam family "Bacterial small subunit ribosomal RNA", at positions 338 to 795 of the family's 1533-position model. The record is from RNAcentral.
CCUACGGGUGGCAGCAGUGGGGAAUUUUGGGCAAUGGAGGCAACUCUGAUCCAGCAACGCCGCGUGAGCGAUGAAGGUCUUCGGAUUGUAAAGCUCUGUCGCAGGGGACGAAGAAUGACGGUACCCUGUAAGAAAGCCCCGGCAAACUUCGUGCCAGCAGCCCCGGCAAUACGUAGGGGGCUAGCGUUGUCCGGAAGUACUGGGCGUAAGGGGAGUGUAGACGGCUUGUCAAGUUAAGUGUGAAAUCCUGCGGCUUAACCGCAGAAUUGCACUUAAAAUUGUCUCGCUAGAGUCCAGGAGAGGUGAGCGGAAUUCCUAGUGUAGCGGUGAAAUGCGUAGAUAUUAGGAGGAACACCAGUGGCGAAGGCGGAUUACUGGACGACAACUGACGCUGAGGCGCGAAAGCGUGGGGAGCAAACAGGAUUAGAUACCCUGGUAGUC